This 372-nucleotide ribosomal RNA is filed under the name uncultured bacterium. Its description in RNAcentral is "bacterial SSU rRNA". It matches the Rfam family "Bacterial small subunit ribosomal RNA", at positions 29 to 414 of the family's 1533-position model. The record is from RNAcentral.
AACGAACGCUGGCGGCAUGCCUAACACAUGCAAGUCGAACGGGAUCCUGGCUUCGGCCAGGUGAGAGUGGCGGACGGGUGAGUAACGCGUGGGAACCUGCCCAUUGGUCUGGGAUAACUGCGGGAAACUGCAGCUAAUACCGGAUGUACCCGAGAGGGGAAAGAUUUAUCGCCGAUGGAGGGGCCCGCGUCAGAUUAGGUAGUUGGUGAGGUAACGGCUCACCAAGCCUACGAUCUGUAGCUGGUCUGAGAGGAUGAUCAGCCACACUGGGACUGAGAUACGGCCCAGACUCCUACGGGAGGCAGCAGUGGGGAAUAUUGGACAAUGGGGCGAACCCUACGAUCCAGCAAUAGCCGCCGUGAGUGAUGAAGG